GACAGAGGGGGCAAGCGUUGCUCGGAAUCACUGGGCGUAAAGGGCGCGUAGGCGGGAUGGCAAGUCAGUCGUGAAAUCUCUCGGCUCAACCGAGAAACGUCGGCUGAUACUGCCGUUCUUGAGGGAUGCAGGGGAGACUGGAAUUCCCGGUGUAGCGGUGAAAUGUGUAGAGAUCGGGAGGAACACCGGUGGCGAAGGCGGGUCUCUGGGCAUCUCCUGACGCUGAGGCGCGAAAGCCAGGGGAGCAAACGGG
This 253-nucleotide ribosomal RNA is filed under the name uncultured bacterium. Its description in RNAcentral is "partial 16S ribosomal RNA". It matches the Rfam family "Bacterial small subunit ribosomal RNA", at positions 524 to 776 of the family's 1533-position model. The record is from RNAcentral.